UGGCUGUUGUUAAUGAUGACCUACCUGGUUUAGUUAAGUUUAGUUUGGCUGUUGUUAAUGAUGACCUACCUGGUUUAGUUAAGUUUAGUUUGGCUGUUGUUAAUGAUGACCUACCUGGUUUAGUUAAGUUUAGUUUGGCUGGUGUUAAUGAUGACCUACCUGGUUUAGUUAAGUUUAGUUUGGCUGUUGUUAAUGAUGACCUACCUGGUUUAGUUAACGUGACAAAGUUCUUCUGGUGUUACAAAGUCAACUGCAGCGUGUCUGUGAAGAAGCUGUCCAGAGACAACGCUCAUUUUGAAAACAUCAUCAAAUAUUUCUUCAGCUGGCAACAACCAGAACCACUGUGCAAGGUUUACCACUGACUGUGUUUGACUUGAGGCUCUGCCCUGGAUUUUUAUUUAGAUAUCACACACACACACAUGAAGAUAAACUCAGCUGAUUUCCUGUAAAUAAAGAGGGGAGGAGCAACACUAAGCAGGUGAUCCAGGUCGAGAAGAACAGGGAGGAACUUCAGUUUGUUCAGACUCCAUUUGGAGUGGACGGAGCAGAAAGAGGAAACCUGAAGCUGAGGCAGGACUGACUGAAGUCCAGAAGAUGGAGGAAGAGGAGGACAGAGCAG
Molecule: long non-coding RNA, 619 nt
Organism: Larimichthys crocea (large yellow croaker)
Lineage: Eukaryota; Metazoa; Chordata; Actinopteri; Sciaenidae
Exons: 3
Source: RefSeq, a predicted model, not a curated record